AGUAAAGAUUAAAUGUGCUUCUCAAAGGCAGCCACUUCAUGCUGCUAUGUCGAAAGGGCCAUUAUUAUUAUUAUAUUUUAAUGGUAAAAGAGAAAAGGAGAGAGGUUGAGCGAGCGAGAGAGAAGCUAGGUGUGAUGAUGACAGACUAGCUUUUCUGAGAGGAAAAGGAAAAGGGAAGGGAGAGAAAAAGGAGAGCCUCUGAGCUCAACGGAGGAUUGUGCCUGAGAAGAACCCACAGAGAUACAGUUAAGCUAAUGAUCUCGAGAGGAUAUCGUCCUGGAUAAGGGUGGAGCCUACGCCCAAAAACAAGAUUACCUGAAAGAGAAAAGAAAGGGGGAAAACACACAGAGAUACAGUCGGGGAGGCCACAUGAAGAUGGAGGCAGAGACAGGAGUGAUGAGCCUGCAAGCCAAGGAAUGCCAAGGGCUGCCAGCAGCCAUGAGAAGCUGAGAGACACAGAGAACGAGUCCUCUGCCAGAGCCUCCAGAAGGAACUAACCCUGUCAAUACCUUGAUUUCGGACUUCUGGACUCCAGAACUAUAACCCUCCUUCCUCCACCUCACAAAAACUCACAAGCUGCAACCCUUCUGAUGUCCACUCCCACACAAACCAGCUUCAGGCCUUUUUCAAGUGGAUGCUGUGGGGCACCACCUCCUUGAGGACCAAGGCACUCCAGCUGCCAGGAAUUUGGCUGCUAACCUCACACAGCUGAGCCUUCCAUGAAAAUUGCUCUCUGCCAAAGAGAACUUCCUAGUCCAAGGUCAUGUCUACUCUCCAGAGAUGUGACUGGAGUGAUUUGCACCCGGAUGCCUAGACUCGCCAUCUGCUCAAAGACUGCUCAGAAAGCCCUCCCAUGCAUUCCCCUGCUGCAUACCAGCCCACUCUGCCUGCAGCUGCUGUCUGCAGGACUUCAUAUCUAUGCCACACUGUGUAAAAGCUGUGCUUCAAGAAAUCACAAAAACAUUUUCCUGCACCUACUACACAGCCUGAGUGCGGCAUAAGUUGACCUUGCUUGCUAAGAAAUGGGGCAAGAAAUGCUUUUUUGUGUGUGUCAUGUCUGUUUGUUUUUCAAUUAAGAGAGGAAAGCAUUAGGCAGAUGGAAUGUACAUGUGAGGAUGAGGAGACAGAAAACAAGUAGCCCUUUCCAUCAAGAUAGAGGGUUUUCUGGGGUUGCUGGCUAUUGAAUGUCACUCCUGAUUUCUCUUUCCAAGGCACUGUACCACCAGCCUACUGAGAUUGUGUGGGAGCUUUCAUGGGGGUUGUAUUUCACUGAUGAAAAUAAAUUUUUUGCAUAAUGUGAA
This is a long non-coding RNA of Homo sapiens (human), 1301 nucleotides long. Ensembl annotates it as mir-100-let-7a-2-mir-125b-1 cluster host gene. Its record names the gene MIR100HG. NCBI's taxonomy places the organism in Eukaryota, Metazoa, Chordata, Mammalia, Primates, Hominidae. The record is from Ensembl.